AGACAUUAAUCUUAAGUAUCCAGGGAGCCCUAAAACAUUGUAUCCCACUAGCAAGGACCAUGGUAAUUGCCACGUAAAUCCCCUCCAUUAUGUGGCCCUUAUUAUGACCAGCCAGCCAAGGCUUGCCUUUAAAUCAUACCAAUUGAACCGAGCCUUGUAGAAACACUAUCACCUACGCAUACCUCUGCUUCUUUUCAUUAACCUGCUAUCCUCUUUACAAAUGGGAUUCUUCACCCACUCCCUUCUUCUAGAUUAGCAAUGCCCUGUUAAGUAAACGAACACGAAAUUCAAAGGGAAACAGGAGCAAUCAUCAUUACCAGCUGCCGUGUUAAGCAUUGCGAAAACGCUCACGAUUCACAGAAAAAUCCAUGCUGUUCUUUGAAGGCAUUCAAGCCUUAAUAGCUAGCUGGAUGAAUGUUUAACUUCUAGGCCAGGCACUACUCUGUCCCAACAAUAAGCCCUGUACAUUGGGAAAGGUGCCGAGACAUGAACUUUGGUCUUCUCUGCAAUCCAUCUGGAGCAUUCACUGACAACAUCGACUUUGAAGUUGCACUGACCUGGCCAGCCCUGCCACUUACCAGGUUGGGCUGUGGCUUGCCUUUUCACUUCUUGUGUCCUGUUUAAGAAAUAUCUGCUAUCCCAAGCAUCUGGCAUCUUUCUUGACAUAUGUAGCAGUUGCUUUUUGACAGCUUGCUUCUUCAGUGAAUGAAUAAAUUAAUAAAGAGAAAUGUGAUGUUCAGUGAUCCAUUUUGCAGAUUGCAAACUCCUAGAGAAGGGCUCAACAGUGAGUGCUGAGGCUGCACAGAGGAGGAAGGCAGCACAAUGAUGGAAGGCUUCCUAAAGAGAUAACACUAACAAAGUUGACCUUAGAAUUGGAGUGCCUGGGUUAGAACCCUGCUGGUACCACCUGCUUACUGCAUGCUUCUGAUGUGAGUUCAGGAGAAGACACUGGCAAGGACAGCAAAGAACAGGAGAACACUCUAGCUUCCCUGAUAGCAUUCAAGGUGCUGUCCAAACUGACUGUGAUGGCACCCUCCAGACAGACAGCGAUGCCACAUGUUCAAGAUGGCAGAAUCACUAUCAGCUUCAAUUCCUGAAUGACUGCAGAGCAAAAUUUCUUACCUGCAACAUACACUCUAUUUUCAGCCUCCCUGGACUGUUACAUAAUGAUACAUAAAAAUAUUUCUUGUGUUGAGGCAUCCCAAAUUUGAUUUAUUUGUCAUCACAGUCUAUCCUAUGAAUAUAUUUCUGAUCCAAAUAAUGCUAGAUUCAUGAGAGUUUAUAGUCCAGAGAUUUUUUUUUUUUUUUUGAGACAGAAUCUGUCUCCCAGGCUGGGGUGCAGUGGCAUAAUCUUAGCUCACUGCAACCUCUGCCUCCCGGGCUCAAGUGAUCCUCCCUCCUUAGCCUCCAUGAGUAGCUGGGACCACAGGUGUGCACCACCACACCCCGCUAAUUAUUUUGUAUUUUUUGCAGAGGGGGGUUUCACCACAUUGCCCAAGCUGGUCUCAAACUCCUAGACUUAAGGGAUCUGCCUGCCUUGGCCUCCCAAAAUGCUGAAAUUACACUUGUUAGCCAUAGUAAUAGUUCCUAGCCAUAGUCCGGAGAUAUUUUAAAAACUUUAGUGUGAGUUAUUUCUCUUUGCUAUAAUUCUCUCAUGCAUUUUGAAAACCUUUUCUGCCAUACAGUGGUUUUUGGGAAGUCCUUUUGGACAGACAUAUCACAGGAUGGAGAAACUAAAAAGAGAGAAUGCAUUAAAGAAAAAAUAGUACUUCGUAUUUCAGAAAUUACAAAAGGGUGUCAUGCCCCACAGCAUGGUGGGCAGUCAUUUGUAACCCACAGAACAUUGAGUUUCUAAAAUUUGAGUGUUUUUAACUUACGAAGGCCAACUUUACUGAUGAAGUGAUUACCCCAAAUAUGUGAAAUCCAUAUUUCAAGUACAAUAGUAGGAAAUUGGAAAUGGGCUCUUGAGUUUCUGCUUUCAAGUGACCCUCAGAAAUUCCUCCAUUCACUGCAGAGGUUCUGUUUCUCCUUGCUUUGUUCUGACUUUACGGCAGAACUAAGCUAAUGAGUUAGUUACUAUGGGUUAUCACUUGGAUUUGAAGAACCAUCAUUUCUAGGCAUUGCUGCUCAGAGUGGGUCUGCCCUCAGGGGAAGCUGUCUAACCAGAGCCUAACCCACUAGGGUUUUAUCAGAACCUAACUGACCUGAGGAAAAGAAAUACUCAACUCCAGCAAGCUCCAGCCUUCCAAAUGGAGGAGGAGAAAACCCAACUCCAGCCCACUUCAGCUAUCUUGUCCCACAUAAAGGGGAAGUGGAAGAAACCUGAGAAGCAGGCAUGAAGUUCACAGUCCAGAGAUGACAUGAUUUUCUAUGCAAAAAAUUCAAAAUAAUCAACAACAAAAAAAUCCUGAAACUAAUAAAUGAUUAUAGCAAGAUUUCAGGAUAUGAGAUUUAUAUACAAAGGUCAAUUACUUUCAUAUAUACAAGCAAUGAACAAGAGGGAUUUGAAAUUAAAAACGAAACUAUUUACAUUAGUACCCCCAAAAUGAAAUCCUUAUGUAUAAACUUAACAAAAUAUGUACAAGAUACAUAUGAGAAAAA
This 2601-nucleotide long non-coding RNA is filed under the name Homo sapiens (human). RNAcentral's name for it is "PREDICTED lncRNA (TCONS_00257695)". Lineage: Eukaryota; Metazoa; Chordata; Mammalia; Primates; Hominidae. The record is from RNAcentral.